This 500-nucleotide ribosomal RNA is filed under the name uncultured Comamonadaceae bacterium. RNAcentral's name for it is "bacterial SSU rRNA". It matches the Rfam family "Bacterial small subunit ribosomal RNA", at positions 1 to 500 of the family's 1533-position model. Lineage: Bacteria; Pseudomonadati; Pseudomonadota; Betaproteobacteria; Burkholderiales; Comamonadaceae. The record is from RNAcentral.
AGGCUUGGGAUUCGUGGCUCAGAUUGAACGCUGGCGGCAUGCUUUACACAUGCAAGUCGAACGGUAACAGGUCUUCGGAUGCUGACGAGUGGCGAACGGGUGAGUAAGGCAUCGGAACGUGCCCAGUCGUGGGGGAUAACGCAGCGAAAGCUGUGCUAAUACCGCAUACGAUCUGCGGAUGAAAGCGGGGGACCUUAGGGCCUCGCGCGAUUGGAGCGGCCGAUGUCAGAUUAGGUAGUUGGUGGGGUAAAGGCUCACCAAGCCAACGAUCUGUAGCUGGUCUGAGAGGACGACCAGCCACACUGGGACUGAGACACGGCCCAGACUCCUACGGGAGGCAGCAGUGGGGAAUUUUGGACAAUGGGCGCAAGCCUGAUCCAGCAAUGCCGCGUGCAGGAAGAAGGCCUUCGGGUUGUAAACUGCUUUUGUACGGAACGGAAAAGCUCUGGGUUGAUACCCUAGGAAGUCAUGACGGUACCGUAAGUAAUAGCACCGGGUAU